UGCGAAGGGGGCUAGCGUUGCUCGGAAUCACUGGGCGUAAAGCGCACGUAGGCGGAUUCUUAAGUCAGGGGUGAAAUCCUGGAGCUCAACUCCAGAACUGCCUUUGAUACUGGGAGUCUCGAGUCCGGGAGAGGUGAGUGGAACUGCGAGUGUAGAGGUGAAAUUCGUAGAUAUUCGCAAGAACACCAGUGGCGAAGGCGGCUCACUGGCCCGGUACUGACGCUGAGGUGCGAAAGCGUGGGGAGCAAACAGG
Molecule: ribosomal RNA, 253 nt
Filed under: uncultured bacterium
Lineage: Bacteria
Description: partial 16S ribosomal RNA
Rfam family: Bacterial small subunit ribosomal RNA
Source: RNAcentral